Molecule: long non-coding RNA, 552 nt
Organism: Homo sapiens (human)
Lineage: Eukaryota; Metazoa; Chordata; Mammalia; Primates; Hominidae
Gene: GBX2-AS1
Product: GBX2 and ASB18 antisense RNA 1
Source: Ensembl
ACCGAGCGAAGCCUGCACCGUCUCGGCCGCGGAGAAGGCGAGCAGCGAGCCCUCUUUGGCCAGGAAGCCUUUGCCGUCCUCCGCGUCAGCCUGCAGCGCCUCCGCCUUGUCGAAGUUACCGCCGCCGGGCAGCGGCUGCGGCGCGAACUUGCGGGCCGCUGCCGCCUCCUGGUGCUGGGGCGACGCGGAGAAGCCGCCGGGGAGCGUGGCCAUGAGCGUAGAGGGAGGAUGCACGAUUUCUGUCCCAGUGGGAAGGGAUGGCCUUCCAGUGGACGUGACCUCCCCUGCAUGGGGUCGGAAGGAUGAGAUGGCAAAGGUGGCUUGUAAUGAGAAGCAAAAGAAAAGAAAAAGGAAAAAGAAGAUUCUAGGUGAUAAAUGAGCAUCUUCAUCACUUUAGCUCCGAAGGGCAGAGGAGCAUUGCCAGGUGAGCCUCAUCAGGCUGGACUCAACUGCUGGCAAAUUGGAAAGUAUUCUUUGUUUCAGAAGGUAAUGAGAAUUCGUUGCCAGGUCGUUAAACUUCGCUCCUUCCUGGAGGUGUGGGGAACGAAAACA